This is a non-coding RNA of Pocillopora verrucosa, 278 nucleotides long. The record is from RefSeq and is a predicted model, not a curated record. NCBI's taxonomy places the organism in Eukaryota, Metazoa, Cnidaria, Anthozoa, Scleractinia, Pocilloporidae.
UCUCUCCAUUCUCUCCCCACCACUUCUCUUAAGGAAAAGCUAAAGCAAGUAUUUGAGAAAAUUAGGAUGCCGAGAACGAAAAAGCUAGAGCCAGUAUUUGAGGGGUUUGGGAUGCCGAGAAUGAAAGGUAGUUUUCCUGUCCUUGAUCUUGAGAAAAAACUAGCUGAAUUGCACAUGGAGCUUCAGAGGCUCAGAAUGGAAGGUACUUUGCCUCCCCCUGAACUCUUUACUGCUGAUCUUGAAGAUGAACUACAACAACUUGAACAACUUCUUAUUGA